AAAAAAUUGUUGACGUGAAUUAAUAGGAUUAACUAGCUUUCAGAAACCAAGUGGGUGCUGUGAACUUGGAGCUAGAAGAUUACGAACUUCUCACUGAAAUUUAACUGAAAUAAGUAAGUUAAACGUUUUCCGCGUUAUGGAAUUUGAGAGUCUAGAUGUUUUUCAUCUAGGAAUUUAGGUGGUACCGCGGAAAUUCGUCCUAUGG
RNAcentral lists this non-coding RNA (205 nucleotides) under Fructilactobacillus sanfranciscensis. RNAcentral's name for it is "Lactobacillus sanfranciscensis T-box sequence". It matches the Rfam family "T-box leader". Rfam says of the family: Uncharged tRNA acts as the effector for transcription antitermination of genes in the T-box leader family. T-boxes are found upstream of many aminoacyl-tRNA synthetase genes and some amino acid biosynthetic genes usually in Gram-positive bacteria. The anticodon of a specific tRNA base pairs to a specifier sequence within the T-box motif, and the NCCA acceptor tail of the tRNA base pairs to a conserved bulge in the T-box antiterminator hairpin. Lineage: Bacteria; Bacillati; Bacillota; Bacilli; Lactobacillales; Lactobacillaceae. The record is from RNAcentral.